UACGGGGGGAGCAAGCGUUGUUCGGAUUUACUGGGCGUAAAGGGCGCGUAGGCGGUCAGCACAAGUCAGUUGUGAAAUCUCCGGGCUUAACUCGGAAAGGUCAACUGAUACUGUGCGACUAGAGUGCGGAAGGGGCAACUGGAAUUCUCGGUGUAGCGGUGAAAUGCGUAGAUAUCGAGAGGAACACCUGCGGCGAAGGCAGCUUGCUGGGACGGUACUGACGCUGAGGCGCGAAAGCGUGGGGAGCAAACAGG
Molecule: ribosomal RNA, 254 nt
Filed under: uncultured bacterium
Lineage: Bacteria
Description: partial 16S ribosomal RNA
Rfam family: Bacterial small subunit ribosomal RNA
Source: RNAcentral